AGAGUUUGAUCCUGGCUCAGAACGAACGCUGGCGGCGUGUUUAAGACAUGCAAGUCGAACGGAGUGAAGUUGUAGCAAUACCGCUUCAUUCAGUGGCGCACGGGUGCGUAACACGUGAGUUACAUGCCCUGCAGUGGGGAAUAGCCCGCCGAAAGGCGGAUUAAUACCCCAUGGUCCCGCAAGGGUAAAGGUGGCCGCAAGGCUGUCGCUGCAGGAUUGGCUCGCGCCCUAUCAGCUUGUUGGUGAGGUAACGGCUCACCAAGGCUACGACGGGUACCUGGUCUGAGAGGAUGAUCAGGCACACUGGAACUGAGACACGGUCCAGACACCUACGGGUGGCAGCAGUCGAGAAUAAUUCACAAUGGGGGAAACCCUGAUGGUGCAACGCCGCGUGGAGGAUGAAGGUCUUCGGAUUGUAAACUCCUGUCAUCGGGGAGUAAGACCUGGAGGUGAAUAGCCUACAGGGUUGAUAGUACCCGAAGAGGAAGGGACGGCUAACUUCGUGCCAGCAGCCGCGGUAAUACGAAGGUCCCAAGCGUUGUUCGGAAUCACUGGGCGUAAAGGGAGCGUAGGCGGCGUGGUAAGUCAGAUGUGAAAUCCCGGGGCUCAACCCCGGAACUGCAUCCGAUACUGCCGUGCUUGAGGGUUGGAGAGGUAGCUGGAAUUCUCGGUGUAGCAGUGAAAUGCGUGGAUAUCGAGAGGAACACUCGUGGCGAAGGCGAGCUACUGGACAACAUCUGACGCUGAGGCUCGAAGGCUAGGGGAGCAAAAGGGAUUAGAUACCCCUGUAGUCCUAGCAG
RNAcentral lists this ribosomal RNA (800 nucleotides) under uncultured bacterium. RNAcentral describes it as "bacterial SSU rRNA". It matches the Rfam family "Bacterial small subunit ribosomal RNA", at positions 8 to 802 of the family's 1533-position model. The record is from RNAcentral.